This 93-nucleotide small nuclear RNA is filed under the name Chinchilla lanigera (long-tailed chinchilla). The record is from RNAcentral. Lineage: Eukaryota; Metazoa; Chordata; Mammalia; Rodentia; Chinchillidae.
GUGCUUGCACAUACACUAAAAUUGAAAUGAUACAGAGAUUAACAUGGCCCCUACACAAGUGAUAUGCAGAUUGAUGAAGGAAAAUAAGGGGAA